GAUGAACGCUGGCGGCGUGCCUAAUACAUGCAAGUCGAGCGAACAGACGAGGAGCUUGCUCCUCUGACGUUAGCGGCGGACGGGUGAGUAACACGUGGAUAACCUACCUAUAAGACUGGGAUAACUUCGGGAAACCGGAGCUAAUACCGGAUAACAUUUUGAACCGCAUGGUUCAACAGUGAAAGACGGUCUUGCUGUCACUUAUAGAUGGAUCCGCGCCGCAUUAGCUAGUUGGUAAGGUAACGGCUUACCAAGGCAACGAUGCGUAGCCGACCUGAGAGGGUGAUCGGCCACACUGGAACUGAGACACGGUCCAGACUCCUAAGGGAGGCAGCAGUAGGGAAUCUUCCGCAAUGGGCGAAAGCCUGACGGAGCAACGCCGCGUGAGUGAAGAAGGUCUUCGGAUCGUAAAACUCUGUUAUUAGGGAAGAACAAAUGUGUAAGUAACUAUGCACGUCUUGACGGUACCUAAUCAGAAAGCCACGGCUAACUACGUG
RNAcentral lists this ribosomal RNA (497 nucleotides) under uncultured bacterium. Its description in RNAcentral is "partial 16S ribosomal RNA". It matches the Rfam family "Bacterial small subunit ribosomal RNA", at positions 28 to 507 of the family's 1533-position model. The record is from RNAcentral.